AGAGUUCGAUCCUGGCUCAGGACGAACGCUGGCGGCGUGCCUAAUACAUGCAAGUAGAACGCUGAAGAGAGGAGCUUGCUCUUCUUGGAUGAGUUGCGAACGGGUGAGUAACGCGUAGGUAACCUGCCUUGUAGCGGGGGAUAACUAUUGGAAACGAUAGCUAAUACCGCAUAACAAUGGAUGACCCAUGUCAUUUAUUUGAAAGGGGCAAAUGCUCCACUACAAGAUGGACCUGCGUUGUAUUAGCUAGUAGGUGAGGUAACGGCUCACCUAGGCGACGAUACAUAGCCGACCUGAGAGGGUGAUCGGCCACACUGGGACUGAGACACGGCCCAGACUCCUACGGGAGGCAGCAGUAGGGAAUCUUCGGCAAUGGGGGCAACCCUGACCGAGCAACGCCGCGUGAGUGAAGAAGGUUUUCGGAUCGUAAAGCUCUGUUGUAAGUCAAGAACGAGUGUGAGAGUGGAAAGUUCACACUGUGACGGUAGCUUACCAGAAAGGGACGGCUAACUACGUGCCAGCAGCCGCGGUAAUACGUAGGUCCCGAGCGUUGUCCGGAUUUAUUGGGCGUAAAGCGAGCGCAGGCGGUUUGAUAAGUCUGAAGUUAAAGGCUGUGGCUCAACCAUAGUUCGCUUUGGAAACUGUCAAACUUGAGUGCAGAAGGGGAGAGUGGAAUUCCAUGUGUAGCGGUGAAAUGCGUAGAUAUAUGGAGGAACACCGGUGGCGAAAGCGGCUCUCUGGUCUGUAACUGACGCUGAGGCUCGAAAGCGUGGGGAGCGAACAGGAUUAGAUACCCUGGUAGUCCACGCCGUAAACGAUGAGUGCUAGGUGUUGGAUCCUUUCCGGGAUUCAGUGCCGCAGCUAACGCAUUAAGCACUCCGCCUGGGGAGUACGACCGCAAGGUUGAAACUCAAAGGAAUUGACGGGGGCCCGCACAAGCGGUGGAGCAUGUGGUUUAAUUCGAAGCAACGCGAAGAACCUUACCAGGUCUUGACAUCCCGAUGCUAUUUCUAGAGAUAGAAAGUUACUUCGGUACAUCGGUGACAGGUGGUGCAUGGUUGUCGUCAGCUCGUGUCGUGAGAUGUUGGGUUAAGUCCCGCAACGAGCGCAACCCCUAUUGUUAGUUGCCAUCAUUCAGUUGGGCACUCUAGCGAGACUGCCGGUAAUAAACCGGAGGAAGGUGGGGAUGACGUCAAAUCAUCAUGCCCCUUAUGACCUGGGCUACACACGUGCUACAAUGGUUGGUACAACGAGUUGCGAGUCGGUGACGGCAAGCUAAUCUCUUAAAGCCAAUCUCAGUUCGGAUUGUAGGCUGCAACUCGCCUACAUGAAGUCGGAAUCGCUAGUAAUCGCGGAUCAGCACGCCGCGGUGAAUACGUUCCCGGGCCUUGCACACACCGCCCGUCA
Molecule: ribosomal RNA, 1407 nt
Filed under: uncultured bacterium
Lineage: Bacteria
Description: bacterial SSU rRNA
Rfam family: Bacterial small subunit ribosomal RNA
Source: RNAcentral